RNAcentral lists this ribosomal RNA (376 nucleotides) under uncultured bacterium. RNAcentral describes it as "bacterial SSU rRNA". It matches the Rfam family "Bacterial small subunit ribosomal RNA", at positions 524 to 898 of the family's 1533-position model. The record is from RNAcentral.
UACAGAGACUGCAAGCGUUAUUCGGAUUCACUGGGCGUAAAGGGUGCGCAGGCGGCCGUGUGUGUAAGGUGUGAAAUCCCGGGGCUUAACCCCGGAACUGCGCCUUAAACUACAUGGCUAGAGUAUCGGAGAGGGUAGUGGAAUUCACGGUGUAGCAGUGAAAUGCGUAGAUAUCGUGAGGAACACCAGAGGCGAAGGCGACUACCUGGACGAUUACUGACGCUCAGGCACGAAAGCGUGGGGAGCAAAAGGGAUUAGAUACCCCUGUAGUCCACGCCCUAAACGGUGCAUACUAGGUCUUGGCGGAUUCGACCCCGCCAGGGCCCAAGCUAACGCGUUAAGUAUGCCGCCUGAGGACUACGGCCGCAAGGCUAAA